UAAAAACUCACAAACGAGAGAUUUUAAUUCUCCUCCCUAAAUUUCCUCUCUCCUCUGUAUUUUGGAACUCACAAUCAAAGUGUAGAAACUUGGAGAGAGGAUUACAACUAGGAGAAGAAACUUACUCCAUCUUUUAAUUAUGAUUAUGUUGAGUGAUAAACUUGAAAUGUUUGAGCAGAAAGAAAGACGUCUUACUACUAAAGUGUAAGUUUUCCUUUCACAUACUCACAUAUUUAAUUCAAAAAUAAAUUAUGUGUAAUGAUGGUCUAUAAAAUUAGUGUUUUAUACUAUCAAAUAACUAUAUAUCAUGCAGAUUAAUUUACCAAAUAAUUUAAUAUUGAAAAUGAGCAUUAAAUAGAGGGUUAAAUGGUACCAAAAUUAAGUAUGAGUUUAUAUAUUUUAGACUAGUAGAUUGUUAUUGGAUGAUGUAUUUCACGAGUCAUCUCUACACGUACAGUUUACUCUCAUGUAAUUAAUCUUCUCUUUAUUUCUUGACAUCAUCGAUCUGUGUUUCCCAAAUUAAAGCAUAGGCCAUGAACAGGUUACCAAAGACCAAAGUCGAUCGCGAUGAGUGACAGCUGACCAAUCUCACUCCUAGUUCAUCGCGCAGUCGCGCUGCUGAUGACAAAUUACCAUGGGCACUUGGGAAAAGUAUCCCAAGUUGAUCAUGUCCUUGCCCGAAUGCCCGUUCUCAUCAUUUCCUUCUUUUUUGCUUUUGCUUUUGUGCUUGUUUUUUGUUUUCGUUUUUAUUUGUACCUUUUUACCCUACAAUUACUUUUUAAUAUAUAUAUAUAUAUAUAUGUAUUUUUCAUGCAUGUUUUGAAUUCUAUACUCUUUUCUUUUGUAUUUUCAGCGUGUUCAUGUUAAUUUUAUGCUUUAAUGAAUAAUAAUCAUACAUUGUUUGUAAGACCCCAA
This 915-nucleotide long non-coding RNA is filed under the name Panax ginseng (ginseng). RNAcentral's name for it is "long non-coding RNA (PGIN_LNC015555)". The record is from RNAcentral. Lineage: Eukaryota; Viridiplantae; Streptophyta; Magnoliopsida; Apiales; Araliaceae.